This 554-nucleotide ribosomal RNA is filed under the name uncultured bacterium. RNAcentral describes it as "partial 16S ribosomal RNA". It matches the Rfam family "Bacterial small subunit ribosomal RNA", at positions 355 to 900 of the family's 1533-position model. The record is from RNAcentral.
UAGGGAACCUUCCACAAUGGACGCAAGUCUGAUGGAGCAACGCCGCGUGAGUGAAGAAGGUCUUCGGAUCGUAAAGCUCUGUUGUUGGUGAAGAAGGAUAGAGGCAGUAACUGGUCUUUAUUUGACGGUAAUCAACCAGAAAGUCACGGCUAACUACGUGCCAGCAGCCGCGGUAAUACGUAGGUGGCAAGCGUUGUCCGGAUUUAUUGGGCGUAAAGCGAGCGCAGGCGGAAUGAUAAGUCUGAUGUGAAAGCCCACGGCUCAACCGUGGAACUGCAUCGGAAACUGUCAUUCUUGAGUGCAGAAGAGGAGAGUGGAACUCCAUGUGUAGCGGUGGAAUGCGUAGAUAUAUGGAAGAACACCAGUGGCGAAGGCGGCUCUCUGGUCUGCAACUGACGCUGAGGCUCGAAAGCAUGGGUAGCGAACAGGAUUAGAUACCCUGGUAGUCCAUGCCGUAAACGAUGAGCGCUAGGUGUUGGGGACUUUCCGGUUCUCAGUGCCGCAGCAAACGCAUUAAGCGCUCCGCCUGGGGAGUACGACCGCAAGGUUGAAAC